RNAcentral lists this ribosomal RNA (245 nucleotides) under uncultured bacterium. RNAcentral's name for it is "partial 16S ribosomal RNA". It matches the Rfam family "Bacterial small subunit ribosomal RNA", at positions 15 to 252 of the family's 1533-position model. The record is from RNAcentral.
GAUCAUGGCUCAGGAUGAACGCUAGCUACAGGCUUAACACAUGCAAGUCGAGGGGCAGCGGGAUUGAAGCUUGCUUCAAUUGCCGGCGACCGGCGCACGGGUGAGUAACACGUAUCCAACCUGCCGAUAACUCGGGGAUAACUCUUCGAAAGAAGGCCUAAUACCCGAUGGCAUAUCCCUUCCGCCUGGUGGGGAUAUUAAAGAACUUCGGUUAUCGAUGGGGAUGCGUUCCAUUAGCUUGUUGG